GACGAACCGUGCGAACGUUAUUCGGAAUCACUGGGCUUAAAGGGUGCGUAGGCGGGUUGCCAAGUCUGUGGUGAAAUCCUCCGGCUUAACCGGAGAACGGCCGUGGAUACUGGCGACCUCGAGUGGGGUAGGGGCUUGCGGAACUGUGCGUGGAGCGGUGAAAUGCGUUGAUAUGCACAGGAACUCCGGUGGCGAAGGCGGCGAGCUGGACCCUAACUGACGCUGAGGCACGAAAGCCAGGGGAGCGAACGGG
Molecule: ribosomal RNA, 253 nt
Filed under: uncultured bacterium
Lineage: Bacteria
Description: partial 16S ribosomal RNA
Rfam family: Bacterial small subunit ribosomal RNA
Source: RNAcentral